Molecule: long non-coding RNA, 412 nt
Organism: Balaenoptera acutorostrata (minke whale)
Lineage: Eukaryota; Metazoa; Chordata; Mammalia; Artiodactyla; Balaenopteridae
Exons: 2
Source: RefSeq, a predicted model, not a curated record
CGGGAGUCGAGGGGACUCGUGGGUGGCAGGGAGCAAGGGAGCACGGAUUCCUAAGCCUUGUCCUAGUCGGGGACGGACCGAUACGCGGACAGCCCAUUCCUGAGGAAUUAAGGCCCCCACCCAGGUGGAGGAUGGGAACUACAGCUGAGACCCCAGACUGAUCGGAACAAAAGGAGUGAUGAUGUUGACCUUUUCUGACUUCAAUCAACUAAAGCUUGAACUCUGUCCACCUUUGCCCCAAUUCUAUGCUGAAUCUCCUCUGCUCAAGCCACUUCAUGAAUAUGCGUACACUGCCCAAUUCCCUUCAAGAGUAUGCAUGUACCCUUAGCUUAAAACUUCAAUUUUGCUGCUUUGGGGAAGAUCCCUUGUGUUUUCCGUACUUGUUGCAGGUAAUUAAUCCUUCCUUCUCCCA